AGCAGCCGCGGUAAUUCCAGCUCCAAUAGCGUAUAUUAAAGUUGUUGCAGUUAAAAAGCUCGUAGUUGAACUUCGGGGUCUACCCAUUGGUCAGGCUUAAUUGUCUGCACUGGUGAGAUGGAUCUCUACCUUCUGAGGAACUUUCAUGCCAUUUAUUUGGUGUGAUAGGAAAUCAGGACUGUUACUUUGAAAAAUUGAGUGUUUAAAGCAGACUAUCGUCUGAAUACAUUAGCAUGGAAUAAUGAAAUAGGACGGACUGAUUCUAUUUCGUUGGUUUCUAGGAUCACCGUAAUGAUUAAUAGGGAUAGUUGGGGGCAUUAGUAUUCAAUUGUCAGAGGUGAAAUUCUUGGAUUUAUUGAAGACUAACUACUGCGAAAGCAUUUGCCAAGGAUGUUUUCAUUAAUCAAGAACGAAAGUUAGGGGAUCGAAGACGAUCAGAUACCGUCGUAGUCUUAACCAUAGACUAUGCCGACUAGGGA
This 479-nucleotide ribosomal RNA is filed under the name uncultured Diversispora. RNAcentral's name for it is "SSU rRNA". It matches the Rfam family "Eukaryotic small subunit ribosomal RNA", at positions 569 to 1052 of the family's 1831-position model. The record is from RNAcentral. Lineage: Eukaryota; Fungi; Glomeromycota; Glomeromycetes; Diversisporales; Diversisporaceae.